RNAcentral lists this long non-coding RNA (759 nucleotides) under Mus musculus (house mouse). RNAcentral describes it as "myeloid RNA regulator of BCL2L11 induced cell death". Lineage: Eukaryota; Metazoa; Chordata; Mammalia; Rodentia; Muridae. The record is from RNAcentral.
UCACAAAGUAUGAAGAGAAUGUCGGGAGAGGAAGUGGUGGCUCUGAGUCAGCACGAGUCAUCUGGUUCCAGUGACAAUGAAGACUGAGGCAAGCUGCGCAUAUCUUGGGAUCUUCACAGCACAGUGGCUGGGAAGGCAGGCGGACCCGUCUAUCAGCUUCUCCCUGGUGGGAUUCUUGCGGGGGCAGGGAUCGAGUCAAACCUUGGAAAUGACGUCAUUCUGAACUCAUCUGCCUUUAUCCAGAAGACUACCAAAGCAAACCAGAGGACCAGAGAACAGCAGCUGCUCUGGACAAAGAGGGGAGGACACCCACACCCACAUACCAAGUUCUGGUUGACUUCUACAGCAGAAGAAGCAGGAGACACAAGAAGACUCAGAGGGACUGAAAUAUAAGAAGAUCGAUGCCAGAUGUUGUUGUGAUGACAACCUGUUGGGUUGAAGGACCCCAGGAAGACACAGUCCAGAUUCACAGGGACAGAGCCACUCACCUAUUGUCACAUGCAGCACAGAAUAAUGCAGAGGCAUGGCAUCAUAACAAUUCCUGAAUGGUGCUUCUCAGAAGAUGGUACUUCUUGGGGUCUGGUACCUGGACUAGUGAGGCUUCUCAGGGGAUGGGACCCCAACCCAGAAUGACAACAUCACCUGAUAACUUCAUCUUCAUCAUUAUCAUCAUCAUCAUCAUUGUUGUUAUUCCUUUUGUUUUGUUUUGAGAUUGUAAUAAAAUUAUAUCAUUUCUCCAUUGCCCUCCCUCCCUCCAAA